UUUGAGCUCUCCCUCUUCUCCCCCUCGGCUUCUGUCCUCACCAGGGAUUACUAAAUAUGGGACCUCGGUAGCUGCCUAGGAUUACUGAAGGCAUCAGACAAGCAGAAACCCAGAGCAGCGUUAGCUGGUCCUAGAUGGUCCUUUGAAGAAGACCAUAGUUCUAAAACAGGUGUGGUCAGGUUACCAACAAAUUUAUUCAGCUGUUUGAAGUAAGACUCUAGUCUUAAAGCAUUCUUCCACUUCUGCCUCCAGAAUCCUCAAAGGGAACCUUCCUUGGAACAUGCUACUGAAAUAGAAUCCUUCCUGCUGAAGAUUCAGAAACUGGAGAAAGAGAACUCUGCAGAAAACUGAGGCUUCCUCCUGUUUUAAAGGAGAAAAGUUGCUCCUCCCCUCACCGCCCUAUCCCACAGGCAGCCCAGUGAGUUCCAGCAAAGUACAGCAGAAAGGAGACCUAGCUUUCAUAUUAAAUAUACAGCAUUGAAAACUGAACUGUGGUAUUGGAGAAGACUCUUGAGAGUCCAGCCAGAGAGAGAUUCAGCCAGUCCAUCCUAAAGGAAAUCAGCCCUGAAUAUUCAUUGGAAGGACUGAUGCUGAAGCUGAAACUCCAAUAAUUUGGCCACCUGAUGUGAAGAACUGACUCAUUGGAAAA
Molecule: long non-coding RNA, 649 nt
Organism: Dama dama (fallow deer)
Lineage: Eukaryota; Metazoa; Chordata; Mammalia; Artiodactyla; Cervidae
Exons: 5
Source: RefSeq, a predicted model, not a curated record